CGGGUGAGUAACACGUGGGUAACCUGCCCAUCAGAAGGGGAUAACACUUGGAAACAGGUGCUAAUACCGUAUAACAAUCGAAACCGCAUGGUUUCGGUUUGAAAGGCGUUUUUGCGUCACUGAUGGAUGGACCCGCGGUGCAUUAGCUAGUUGGUGAGGUAACGGCUCACCAAGGCAACGAUGCAUAGCCGACCUGAGAGGGUGAUCGGCCACAUUGGGACUGAGACACGGCCCAA
This 236-nucleotide ribosomal RNA is filed under the name uncultured bacterium. RNAcentral's name for it is "partial 16S ribosomal RNA". It matches the Rfam family "Bacterial small subunit ribosomal RNA", at positions 103 to 334 of the family's 1533-position model. The record is from RNAcentral.